Molecule: ribosomal RNA, 253 nt
Filed under: uncultured bacterium
Lineage: Bacteria
Description: partial 16S ribosomal RNA
Rfam family: Bacterial small subunit ribosomal RNA
Source: RNAcentral
GACAGAGGUCUCGAGCGUUAGGCGGAAUCACUGGGCUUAAAGCGUGUGUAGGCGGAUGCCUAAGUACCUUGUGAAAUCCCACGGCUCAACCGUGGAAUUGCUUGGUAUACUGGGUGUCUUGAGCCAGCUAGGGGCAACCGGAACAAAUGGUGGAGCGGUGAAAUGCGUAGAUAUCAUUUGGAACGCCAAUGGUGAAAACAGGUUGCUGGGGCUGUGCUGACGCUGAGACACGAAAGCCAGGGGAGCAAACGGG